This 1636-nucleotide ribosomal RNA is filed under the name human gut metagenome. RNAcentral's name for it is "bacterial LSU rRNA". It matches the Rfam family "Bacterial large subunit ribosomal RNA", at positions 835 to 2495 of the family's 2925-position model. The record is from RNAcentral.
GAACCCGGAGAUAGCUGGUUCUCCCCGAAAUAGCUUUAGGGCUAGCGUCGCAGCGAGAGAGCCGUGAAGGUAGAGCACUGAAUAUGCGAUGGCCGCAUCCCGCGGUACUGAGCAUAAUCAAACUCCGAAUGUCACGGUGUCAUCUGCGGCAGUCAGACGGCGAGUGAUAAGGUCCGUCGUCAAGAGGGAAACAGCCCAGACCAUCAGCUAAGGUCCCAAAGUGCAUGCUAAGUGGAAAAGGAAGUGGAGACGUGCAGACAACUAGGAGGUUGGCUCAGAAGCAGCCAUCCUUCAAAGAGUGCGUAACAGCUCACUAGUCGAAUGACUCUGCGCCGAUAAUUUACCGGGGCUAAGCAUGACACCGAAGCUAUGGACAGGAAUGUGGUAGGGGAGCAUUGCAUGCAGCGGAGAAGCAUGACCGGGAGGGCAUGUGGAGCGCAUGGAAGAGAGAAUGCCGGCGUGAGUAGCGGCACGUGGGUGAGAAUCCCACGCACCGAUGGCCCAAGGUCUCCAGAGGAAGGCUCGUCCUCUCUGGGAUAGUCGGGACCUAAGGCGAGGCCGAAAGGCGUAGCCGAUGGACGACGGGUGGAUAUUCCCGUACCCGAUGUGUGGCGAUGGAGUGACGGAGAAGGCUCAGGCAACCAGCUGCUGGAAUAGCUGGGGCAAGCGAGAUACCUGCGCACCAGGGAAAUCCGGUGCGCAUAAGGGGAAGGCGCGAUGCAUACGGAAAGCUUCGGCAAGUACGGAAAAGCUGAGAGCAGGCUUCCAGGAAAAGCUUCUAGCACAACACACAUCGGCCCGUACCGAAAAUGGACACACAUGGGCAAGGAGAGAAUCCUGAGGUGAGCGAGAGAACUAUAGCUAAGGAACUCUGCAAAAUGACCCCGUAACUUAGGGAGAAGGGGUGCUCCAGAAAUGGAGCCGCAGUAAAACGGCCCAAGCGACUGUUUACCAAAAACACAGCUCUCUGCGAAGGCGCAAGCCGAAGUAUAGGGGGUGACGCCUGCCCGGUGCUGGAAGGUCAAGGGGAGCUGUCAGCGCAAGCGAAGCAGCGAGCCGAAGCCCCAGUAAACGGCGGCCGUAACUAUAACGGUCCUAAGGUAGCGAAAUUCCUUGUCGGGUAAGUUCCGACCCGCACGAAAGGCGUAACGAUUUGGGCGCUGUCUCAGCUGUAGACUCGGUGAAGUCUUAGUACCUGUGAAGAUGCAGGUUGCCCGCGACUAGACGGAAAGACCCCAUGGAGCUUCACUGCAGGUUGACAUUGGGCUUGGAUGCAUGAUGUACAGGAUAGGUGGGAGGCUGUGAGCCGUGCGCGCCAGCGUACGGGGAGCCGCUGUUGGGAUACCACCCUUCAUGCAUCUAGGUCCUAACCGGAGGCAACGGGCCACGGGACAGUGUCAGUCGGGCAGUUUGACUGGGGCGGUCGCCUCCCAAAGAGUAACGGAGGCGCCCAAAGAUACCCUCAGCAUGGAUGGAAACCAUGCAUAGAGUGCAAAGGCAUAAGGGUGUCUGACUGCGAGACAUACAGGUCGAGCAGGGACGAAAGUCGGGCUUAGUGAUCCGGCGGAUCCGAAUGGAAGGGCCGUCGCUCAACGGAUAAAAGCUACCCUGGGGAUAACAGGCUGAUCUCCCCCAA